This 69-nucleotide transfer RNA is filed under the name Ictidomys tridecemlineatus (thirteen-lined ground squirrel). RNAcentral describes it as "Spermophilus tridecemlineatus (thirteen-lined ground squirrel) tRNA". It matches the Rfam family "tRNA". Rfam says of the family: Transfer RNA (tRNA) molecules are approximately 80 nucleotides in length. Their secondary structure includes four short double-helical elements and three loops (D, anti-codon, and T loops). Further hydrogen bonds mediate the characteristic L-shaped molecular structure. tRNAs have two regions of fundamental functional importance: the anti-codon, which is responsible for specific mRNA codon recognition, and the 3' end, to which the tRNAs corresponding amino acid is attached (by aminoacyl-tRNA synthetases). tRNAs cope with the degeneracy of the genetic code in two manners: having more than one tRNA (with a specific anti-codon) for a particular amino acid; and 'wobble' base-pairing, i.e. permitting non-standard base-pairing at the 3rd anti-codon position. Lineage: Eukaryota; Metazoa; Chordata; Mammalia; Rodentia; Sciuridae. The record is from Rfam by way of RNAcentral.
GAGGUUGUGGCUCACUGGUAGAGCACUUGCCUGCCACGUGUGAGGCACUGAGUUUGAUCCUCAGCCUCA